Non-coding RNA from Danio rerio (zebrafish), 1564 nucleotides. The record is from Ensembl. NCBI's taxonomy places the organism in Eukaryota, Metazoa, Chordata, Actinopteri, Cypriniformes, Danionidae.
GUUUGUAGCUGUCAAAUGUUUUACAAUUUGAAAGGUGUGUGUUCGUUUUAAAACGUAGAUAUGGUUAUGAAAUUAUAUGUACCUACACGACUGUGUGGCUUUAAUAAGAAAUUCCCCACGAAACUGCCGUGACACUAGUUUGGCAUGAGUCAAAUAGGCCAAUAACUAUGGCAUACGUUAUGGCUAUUUCGCUCGCUGUGCUACAACUGGACGUAGAUCUGUUACAUAAUUUUAUUAACUUCACUCGCAAUGCUACAACAGGACAUAAUUAUGUUACAUUAUUUUAUUAACGUUAAAUGAAAACAGACUACGGAUUUGGUAACACGAGGCCUGUGGGCGUCUGAGUGUGCAAACCUCCAGCAAUCUUACGUACAUCUCAAACCAUCUGGACCCCUGCUCACUGCCAAGUUACGUAUUGCUGCAGGCUAGAGUGAGGGACCCCCACUUUAAAGAACCUCCAUCUUAAGAUCAGCGCUGGUGUGGGACAGAGGACACGCUCACUCUGUGUAGUGCAUGAUGGACUCCACGUAGUUUCCAGGAAAAAGUCCCGUAGUGCCGCUCAUCACGCCUUCAUACCAGCCGUCGUCAUUCUUUUUAAUCACAUAGAUGAUGGCUCCCUCCUGGAAAGACAACUCAUCUUCCUUAUCCCGUAUGUUUGUGGAGCCCAUGGUGGGUCUUCCUCAGCAUAAGGGUCACUGUACUCCACCACAGAAGACUCCUCUUCCUCAUAGCCUUCUGGAGGAGCAGCCGGAUUUUGUGUGUCGUCAAACAUGGGCUCUUCUGAUGGAGGAGAUGGAGGAGGCGCAUCUGUAACUGAGAGAAAGUUGAGAAAUGAGCAGACGACCAGGACUCCUGCUAAAGGGCAGGCCAUGCAAACUCAUGGAUCCAUGCAGAAAGCAAAUGAGGUAAACUAUGAUGAUUUGCUGUGAACGAAUAGAGUUGAAACUUUCACUGGUAACAUUCUGAGACAAACAUACACAUGCAUGCUAAUGUAAAAGUGUAUAUAUGUGUACAAACUAUUUUAAUAAUUUCAGCUAGAUGUUUGUGUUGUGAACUAUGUGUGAACAUAUUUUACGUCAAAUAUCUUAUUCAGGACAGUACUAAAUAACAUUCUCAUAUUUUGUUCAAAUAAUUCACAUUUAAACAAAUUCUUCAAGAGGUAUGUAAAGUUUUGAGAAUGUGUGUGUGUGUGUGUGUGUGUGUGUGUGUAUUAGUGCUGUCAAAAUUAGUGUGUUAACGCAUGCAAUUAAUUUGAAAUAUGUAACGUGUUAAAAAAAUUCACACAAUUGCAGUUUUUUUUUCUGUUGUAGUCGACAUGUGUUCAACAUACAAAGAAAUAUGGAUAAGACCAAGGAAGCACUUUUUGAUGGAAAGUUUCAGUAGAAAACAAUUAAUGUCACAUUGGGUUAUCCAGUGUUUCCUCCAGAAUUUCAUCUAAUUUCGUAUGAUUCAAUUUUAAUAUUUUGAUGUUGUUUUAAUGGAAUUUGAUAUCGCAUGCCGAACAGAAAGAAAAACCUCUGCAUUUCGUUACUCAGUGGUCCUUUAAGGUAAUUAAAAAUCGCUG